CUCUAGACAUGGCCGCUUCCAUGUGCUAACAUGAGAGCAAACCGAGCACACGCCUGUAGCUGAAAAUAACACACAGAACAGACCCACCUUCAUUUCUGUACCAAAAAAGCCCCGAAGGACAGAAAAGCAGCGUCCGCGUAGAGAAGGCGUCACAGGUAAAGGCGGUGUACCUUUAUGCUGGUGCAGACAACACGCCUGUUCCCCCUCAUCAUCUCCCAUCACCUGCAUCCUUCCUGCACCCGUUCUGUGAGGCAGACGUUUCGGUGGAGUGGUGGCAGUAUUGCUGCUGCCAGCAGGGGACUGAGAUCAAUGGACCCAGGGGCUCCCACCACCAAUGCUUCACCCACACCUGCUGAAUUUUCAGCAGAAAGCACGAACCCGGCUGCGACAGACAGGAUAGGCGGUCAGGAGACGACGCCUCCUGUAGGACUGUUACCUGGAGAGACGGUGGUCAGGGAGGGGAAGGCAACCAUCUUGUUUCCCAGUGCCAAUGAGGUGUUUUACAACCCAGUCCAGGAGUUUAACAGAGAUUUAACAUGUGCCGUGAUCACAGAGUUUGCCAGAGAUCUGCUGGCUCAGCGUGGAGUGAAGGUGGUAGUGCCUGGGGAGAAAGAGAGGGUGGUGGUCUCUCUGUCCGAGGAGGCGAAUGAGGCUGGCAUACAGACGGAGGAGAAAGAUGGAGUGGAGGAGUCAGCUGUAACUGCGACAGUAGGGGAGAAGUGUGAGCAUGGGCUUCGUGUCCUGGAGGGCCUGGCAGCGUCUGGUCUGCGCUCGGUCCGUUUUGCUCUGGAGGUCCCAGGUCUGCAGAGCGUCACUGCCAAUGACUUCUCCACGAAGGCUGCAGCCCUGAUUGGCAGAAAUGCCCAGUAUAACGGAGUGAGCCACAUCCUGCAGGCCAGCUGCAGGGACGCCAGCAUGCUGAUGUAUGAAAUGCGAGGGAAGAAGGACCGCUAUGACGUCAUUGAUCUGGACCCCUACGGUAGCCCCGCCUCUUUCCUGGAUGCUGCUGUGCAGGCUGUCAGUGAAGGAGGGCUGCUGUGUAUAACGUGUACAGACAUGGCGGUGAUGGCAGGAAACAGUGGAGAGACCUGCUACAGCAAAUAUGGUUCGGUUUCCAUCAAAGCCAAAUACUGUCAUGAAAUGGCUCUUCGUAUUAUCCUCCACAGCGUGGACCAGCGGGCAGGCGUGUACCAGCGAUACAUUCAGCCCCUGCUGUCCGUCAGUGUUGACUUUUACAUUCGGGUCUUUGUACGUGUGUUCACAGGACAGGCUACAGUCAAAAACUCAGCCAGUAAACAGGCCCUGGUGUACAACUGUGUCGGCUGUGGCUCUUUCCACUUGCAGAGAAUGGGCAGGAGAACAAGCAAUGGAAAACAUAUGAAGUAUUCUGCUGCCACAGGACCUCCAACUGGACCAGAGUGUGAACACUGUGGACAGAGACAUCAGCUGGGUGGUCCUAUCUGGGCAGAGCCCAUCCACGACUUGGCGUUUGUCCAGAAGGUUUUGUCUGGCGUGUCAGGGAACCCUUCCAGAUUUGGGACAUCUAAACGGAUUGAGGGCGUGCUCAGCAUGGUGACGGAGGAGUUGGAAGAUGCUCCUCUUUAUUACACCGUGGACAGUCUGAGCAGCACAGUACACUGUAAUACUCCACCCCUGCUCCAGUUUAGAUCGGCUCUCCUUCAUGCUGGUCACAGGGUUUCCCUCUCUCACGCCUGUAAGAACGCCAUCAAGACAGACGCUCCUCCUGCAGCCGUUUGGGAUAUCGUACGAUGCUGGGAGCAGGCCAAUCCUGUGAAGAGGGAGAAACUGUCACCGACUAGCCCUGCUUUCAAGAUCCUCUCCACCAAACCCAGCCUGGAGGCCUGUUUCACUGUGAGGGAAGACGCCAACCCUCAGUCCCGUAAACGCCAUCUGACACGGUUCCAGGAGAAUCCUCAGGCCUUCUGGGGACCCAAAGCUCGUGCCAAAGUUGGUGGUGGCAUCUCCACUGACCUGCAAGACAAGAGGAAGAAGUGUCAGAACAAGAGAAAGAACCAGAUCGCAGACUCCUCGCAGCUCAAGAGCUUUCCGUGCAAGAAGUUCAGACAGAGUGAAAGUAGCAGUUCAUCCUGAAGGUCAGAGAUUGCAGCAUCUGAGGGCCUCUUCAAAAGAAGACGUAGUUGAUGACGGCGUUCUGGAGCAGGACCAGAAAGACCACGACCAAGCAGCCUUGAGAUCUUAGGCAGCGUCUCCCUCAGGUUCCUCUCUAUCUCCCCACACAUCCACCAACCACUGGAACACAUCUCCAAAGUUCUGCUGGACCAGCUCAGCUUCACCUCAGAAGAAGUGCCGCCACCUGCCAGAUGAAGGUGCCUUUUGAGAGGCAGCUGGCAUCGUGAUUGGACUGUACUGUGGUCUGUUCCAAUCCAGCUUCAGCUCCAGAGACGGCAGGCGGGACGAGUCAACAGAGGCCUGGUGGACGAAGGCAUGCAGCUGAGUACAAUCCAGAAAACAACAGAGGAGGAGUGCAGCAGCCCAGAGCCAGAACAACCAGAGUAGCAUCGUAUGUCUCUUAGAAAACAUCAUAGUAGAGCCUUUGGUAUGAAAAAACACCAUCAUAUACAUCGUAUAUUGUACAAAUAACAAGUCAAAGGAAAGAGACAUACAUUGUAGAAUUGUAGUAAUUGUGGGCUGACUGAUUUACUGAUUAGCAGUAUUUUAUUUUUUAACGAUUUACAGUAAUAAAUACAUUUAAAAAUGGUG
Molecule: RNA transcript, 2742 nt
Organism: Amphiprion ocellaris (clown anemonefish)
Lineage: Eukaryota; Metazoa; Chordata; Actinopteri; Pomacentridae
Gene: trmt1
Gene name: tRNA methyltransferase 1
Exons: 17
Source: RefSeq, a predicted model, not a curated record